GACGAACGCUGGCGGCGUGCUUAACACAUGCAAGUCGAACGGUAAGGCUCCAGCUUGCUGGGGUACACGAGUGGCGAACGGGUGAGUAACACGUGGGUGACCUGCCCUGCACUUCGGGAUAAGCCUGGGAAACUGGGUCUAAUACCGGAUAGGACUGCACCGUGAGGGUGUGGUGGAAAGUUUUUUCGGUGUGGGAUGGGCCCGCGGCCUAUCAGCUUGUUGGUGGGGUAAUGGCCUACCAAGGCGGCGACGGGUAGCCGGCCUGAGAGGGUGGACGGCCACAUUGGGACUGAGACACGGCCCAGACUCCUACGGGAGGCAGCAGUGGGGAAUAUUGCACAAUGGGCGGAAGCCUGAUGCAGCGACGCCGCGUGGGGGAUGACGGCCUUCGGGUUGUAAACUCCUUUCACCAUCGACGAAGGGUUUCUGACGGUAGAUGGAGAAGAAGCACCGGCUAACUACGUGCCAGCAGCCGCGGUAAUACGUAGGGUGCGAGCGUUGUCCGGAAUUACUGGGCGUAAAGAGCUCGUAGGUGGUUUGUCGCGUCGUCUGUGAAAUUCCGGGGCUUAACUCCGGGCGUGCAGGCGAUACGGGCAUAACUUGAGUACUGUAGGGGAGACUGGAAUUCCUGGUGUAGCGGUGAAAUGUGCAGAUAUCAGGAGGAACACCGGUGGCGAAGGCGGGUCUCUGGGCAGUAACUGACGCUGAGGAGCGAAAGCAUGGGGAGCGAACAGGAUUAGAUACCCUGGUAGUCCAUGCCGUAAACGGUGGGCGCUAGGUGUGGGUUUCCUUCCACGGGAUCCGUGCCGUAGCUAACGCAUUAAGCGCCCCGCCUGGGGAGUACGGCCGCAAGGCUAAAACUCAAAGGAAUUGACGGGGGCCCGCACAAGCGGCGGAGCAUGUGGAUUAAUUCGAUGCAACGCGAAGAACCUUACCUGGGCUUGACAUAUACAGGAUCGCGCCAGAGAUGGUGUUUCCCUUGUGGCUUGUAUACAGGUGGUGCAUGGUUGUCGUCAGCUCGCGUCGUGAGAUGUUGGGUUAAGUCCCGCAACGAGCGCAACCCUUGUCUUAUGUUGCCAGCACGUUGUGGUGGGGACUCGUAAGAAACUGCCGGGGUUAACUCGGAGGAAGGUGGGGAUGACGUCAAAUCAUCAUGCCCCUUAUGUCCAGGGCUUCACACAUGCUACAAUGGUCGGUACAGUGGGUUGCCAGUCCGUGAGGGCGAGCUAAUCCCGCAAAGCCGGUCUCAGUUCGGAUCGGGGUCUGCAACUCGACCCCGUGAAGUCGGAGUCGCUAGUAAUCGUAGAUCAGCAUGCUACGGUGAAUACGUUACCCGGGUCU
This 1341-nucleotide ribosomal RNA is filed under the name uncultured bacterium. RNAcentral describes it as "partial 16S ribosomal RNA". It matches the Rfam family "Bacterial small subunit ribosomal RNA", at positions 28 to 1381 of the family's 1533-position model. The record is from RNAcentral.